Phasianus colchicus (ring-necked pheasant) is the source of this 1642-nucleotide long non-coding RNA. The record is from Ensembl. NCBI's taxonomy places the organism in Eukaryota, Metazoa, Chordata, Aves, Galliformes, Phasianidae.
UGGGGUCAAUAGGGUCUCUGGGGUCUUUGGGGUCAUUGGGGUCUUUGGGGUUGGGUGACGUCACUGAGGUCAUGGGGUCAUUAGGGUCAAUGGGGGUCUAUGGGGUUGAUUAAAGUCAUUGGGGUCAUUGGGGUCAUUGGGGUUAUGGGGUCAAUGGGGAUCCUUGGGGUUGGGUGACGUCAUUGGGGUCAAUGGGGUCUAUGGGGUCGAUUAAUGUCAUUGGGGUCAUCGGGGUCAUGGGGUCAUUGGGGUCAAUGGGGGUCUAUGGGGUUGAUUAAAGUCAUUGGGGUCUUUGGGGUCAUUGGGGUCUUUGGGUGCUGCCAUUGGGGUCUUUGGGGUCAUUGGGGUCUAUGGGGUCGGGUGACAUCAUUGGGGUCACGGGAUCAAAGAAGGGGGUCCCAGAGGUCAAAGGUCGCCCCCUGCUGUCCCCGGCUGACCUCCGUGGGUCGGGAUCCUCCACCCCCCAACGCAGAUCCACCUCGCUCAGCCCCACGCCGUGUGGGGCAGCCAUCGCCCGCAGCCUCGGCAGCGCCGCCCUCACCAGGGCGUCGCGCUCGGCCGCCAUGUCGGCGAACGUGGACGACAGGAAGAGGCGGACGGUGCGCCAGCGCCUGCGCGGCACAGGCAAUUAGAGGCAAUUAGAGGCCAUCGCAGGCAAUUAGAGCCCGUUAGAGCUCGGUAGAGCCCAUCAGAGCCCAUUAGAGCUCGUUAGAGUGCAUCAGAUCCCAUCAGAUCCCAUUAGAGCCCAUCAGAUCCCAUCAGAUCCCAUUAGAGCUCGUUAGAGCUCGUUAGAGCGCAUCAGAUCCCCUUAGAGCCCAUUAGAGCUCAUUAGAGCCCACCAGAUCCCAUCAGAUCCCAUUAGAGCUCAUUAGAGCCCACCAGAUCCCAUUAGAGCCCGUUAGAGCUCGUUAGAGCCCAUCAGAUCCCACCAGAUCCCAUUAGAGCUCAUUAGAGCCCAUUAGAGCCCAUCAGAUCCCAUUACAGUCCAUCAGAUCCCAUUACAGCUCGUUAGAGCCCAUCAGAUCCCAUUAGAGCCCAUCAGAUCCCAUUAGAGCCCAUUAGAGCUCAUUAGAGCCCAUCAGAUCCCAUUAGAGCCCAUUAGAGCUCAUUAGAGCGCAUCAGAUCCCAUUAGAGCUCAUUAGAGCCCACCAGAUCCCAUCAGAUCCCAUUAGAGCUCAUUAGAGCCCANNNNNNNNNNNNNNNNNNNNNNNNNNNNNNNNNNNNAUCAGAUCCCAUUAGAGCCCAUUAGAGCUCAUUAGAGUGCAUCAGAUCCCAUCAGAUCCCAUUAGAGCCCAUUGGAGCUCGUUAGAGCCCACCAGAUCCCAUCAGAUAACAUUAGAGCUCAUUAGAGCCCAUCAGAUCCCAUUAGAGUCCAUUAGAGCUCGUUAGAGACCAUCAGAUCCUAUUAGAGCCCAUUGGAGCUCGUUAGAGCCCAUCAGAUCCCAUUAGAGCCCAUUAGAGCCUAUUAGAGCUCAUUAGAGCCCACCAGAUCCCAUCAGAUCCCAUUAGAGCUCAUUAGAGCCCAUCAGAUCCCAUUAGAGCCCGUUAGAGCUCAUUAGAGUGCAUCAGAUCCUACUAGAGCUCGUUAGAGCCCAUCAGAUCCCAUUAGAGCCCAUUAGAGUGCAUCAGAUCCCAUUAGAGC